UCAGCUUGUAAUUUAACUUAAAAUAUUAGUUUUGGAGACUAAAAAUGUAAUUUUUUAUUUGGCUG
This 65-nucleotide transfer RNA is filed under the name Acizzia uncatoides. RNAcentral describes it as "tRNA-Pro". Lineage: Eukaryota; Metazoa; Arthropoda; Insecta; Hemiptera; Psyllidae. The record is from RNAcentral.